CAUGCACCAGUGGGGUCCCUUGGCCUGGCCUGCGGGAUCGGUCUGAAACCGGCUCUCUGAUAUCCCCUGAGAGGUCCUGGAUUGCGAGAGGGCGCAGGCCAGGCUGAGGGACCCCACUGGUGCACA
Molecule: microRNA precursor, 126 nt
Filed under: Myotis lucifugus (little brown bat)
Lineage: Eukaryota; Metazoa; Chordata; Mammalia; Chiroptera; Vespertilionidae
Description: mir-9193 microRNA precursor family
Rfam family: mir-9193 microRNA precursor family
Source: Rfam by way of RNAcentral